Molecule: long non-coding RNA, 1727 nt
Filed under: Pelobates cultripes (western spadefoot toad)
Lineage: Eukaryota; Metazoa; Chordata; Amphibia; Anura; Pelobatidae
Source: RNAcentral
GACAAUUGUAAAACCAUGGCCGCAGUCUGUGCACAAGAGCAAGGAGGCGGUAUGCGUCCCAUAGCAUUCUUUUCCAAAGUAGUUCGAGCUCCGGUACAGGGUAUGCCGGCGUGUCUCAGAGCAUUGAUAGCAUGUGCAAUGGCUGUUGAAACUGCUACUACUAUCACACUAGGGCAUCCUACAAUACUUCAUGCCAGUCACCAGGUCACUCAGCUGAUAACAAAUCUCACCACACAACACAUGACAGCCCAGCGCUUCAGUGGUUAUGAGAUUCUUUUUUUUAAUACCCAGAAUCUGUCUUUUGGAUUAAACAAGGUUUAGAGAAAGAUCAAAAUGAUCUGUUCUCUAAAGAGGGGAGAAUAGGCAUACUUGAAGAAUAGGCAUACUUGAAGCAAGCUGAUUUAUUUUCAUCAGUCAGGCACAUAGCAAGCACCAUUCAAUUCUUCAUGAAUUCAUUUUAUAUUAGGAAUCUCAGGCAGCAUGUACAGUCUUUUGUAAGAUCGUGUGAACGCUGCUCUUUUUACACACUUACAGAUUGAUUUUAUUCAUGUAUCCAAAAUUGGUAAGAAACAGCAAUACUUACUGGUCAUAGUUAAUCAGUUUAGUGGAUGGCAUGAUGCCUUUGUGACAUCUAGGGAGGAUGCUAGUGAAGAUUAUUGUUACUGAAAUUAUUCCCCGGUAUUGCUGCCCUCUGCAGAUUGGCUCUGAUAAUGGCCCGGUUUUUGCAAGUGGGGUUGCCCAGGAACUUGCUAAAUUCUUGCAAGUUACCUGGCAGUUUCAUAUACCCUAUCAUCCACAGAAUACAGGGGUAGUUGAAAGGAUGAAUAGGACUAUUAAGGAAAAGCCCAGAAUUUACCCAGGAACAUGGGUAAAUUGGACAAGAUAUCUACCAGCUAUUUUAGCUGAGAUAAGAAUGAAUCCCCACAAGGUGAAUUGUUGAUAAAACCGAAUGGUAUGUAUGACAAUGUUUCUUCGCAGUUUUCCCUUACCUUCACAGGAACCUACUCAUUCAUACCAGCCCGGUGACAAGGUGUAUAUCCGUCAGCUGAACAGGACCAAGAAAGGAGGAUACCCUUUUGGACCACCUGCUACUGUGAUUGCUGUAACCAGAACCGCUGUCCUCACAGAUUCACAUGACAUCUGGAUUCACGCAUCCCGAGUGAAGCUGUGUCCAAAGAGGGGAACCAAGGAAGACAACACCACUCCUCGCUCGGAAACAGAAGAAUUUCUCCUCAGCGAAGCAUCAUGGUUUUUACACCAUAUCGUAGAUUGAGAGGAUCAUACGUACCUGAGACCAAGAUUAUGUUGUGUGCUAUGCUUUCUGGAGUUGUUAUACUCCCUCUGAUAUUGUUCCUUGAAUGCCAUUAUGAGUACAAGUCAAUGGCAAGUUCUGGAAAAAGACUCUGACAUGAUGAACAAUUCUUCAAUACCCCCAGCCCAAUUAGGCCUUAGCCCCUCAUCUAGCAUUCGUCACACACGCCCCCUCAAGAACCUUUCUCCACCACCUUUCUAUCAGCAUGCAAUAUGCAAUCAUUCAUUCACUGAACGCAUUUGGAUGAAUUGGACAAAUAGUAACCCUUAUAAGUACCAGUUACCCAUAUGAAAUGUGUCUACAGCUAAUGAAACCGAUGCAUUAUGUUUGUUUGAAGGUUCACAGAAAAUUGUUAGAUCUUAUAACGCAGAAAUGUGCACAGUUAAGGUUGCAUAUCAAUGUAAACAGACAGGCC